RNAcentral lists this ribosomal RNA (431 nucleotides) under uncultured bacterium. RNAcentral describes it as "partial 16S ribosomal RNA". It matches the Rfam family "Bacterial small subunit ribosomal RNA", at positions 29 to 507 of the family's 1533-position model. The record is from RNAcentral.
AACGAACGCUGGCGGCAGGCUUAACACAUGCAAGUCGAACGCCACGCAAGGGGAGUGGCAGACGGGUGCGUAACGCGUGGGAACAAACCGUUGUCUACGGCGUAACUCAGGGACACUGGAAUUAAUACCAAAUACGCCCUACGGGGGAAAGGUUUACCGGGGACGGAUGGGCGCGGGGUGGAUUGGAAAGUGGGUGGGGUGAAGGCGGGCCUAGGCGACGAGCCAGAGCUCGUCUGAGAGGCUGAACAGCCACCCUGGGACUGAGGGACGGCCCAAACUCCUACGGGAGGCAGCAGUGGGGAAUAUUGGACCAUGGGCGCAGGCCUGAUCCAGCCAUGCCGCGUGAGUUAUGAUGGCCUUAGGGUUGUGAAGCUCUUUCACCUAUGAAGAUAAUGACGGUAGUCGGAGAAGAAGCCCCGGCUAACUUCGUG